RNAcentral lists this ribosomal RNA (494 nucleotides) under uncultured bacterium. RNAcentral describes it as "partial 16S ribosomal RNA". It matches the Rfam family "Bacterial small subunit ribosomal RNA", at positions 28 to 507 of the family's 1533-position model. The record is from RNAcentral.
GACGAACGCUGGCGGCAUGCUUAACACAUGCAAGUCGAACGGAAAGGCCUGCUUUCCCUUGUGGAUUGCGGGUACUCGAGUGGCGAACGGGUGAGUAACACGUGAGUGAUCUGCCCCCAACUUGGGUAUAAGCCUGGGAAACUGGGUCUAAUUCCCGAUAGGACUGCAGGGUGGUGCCUGUGGUGGAAAACGAUUUUCUAGUGGUUGGGGAUGAGCUCGCGGCCUAUCAGCUUGUUGGUGGGGUAAUGGCCUACCAAGGCGGCGACGGGUAGCCGGCCUGAGAGGGUGGACGGCCACAUUGGGACUGAGAUACGGCCCAGACGCCUACGGGAGGCAGCAGUGGGGAAUAUUGCACAAUGGGCGGAAGCCUGAUGCAGCGACGCCGCGUGGGGGAUGACGGCCUUCGGGUUGUAAACUCCUUUCGACCGCGAGGAAGCCACCUGGUUGGAAGGGUGGUGACGGUAGUGGUAGAAGAAGCACCGGCUAACUACGUG